RNAcentral lists this ribosomal RNA (780 nucleotides) under uncultured Neocallimastigales. RNAcentral describes it as "partial large subunit ribosomal RNA". It matches the Rfam family "Eukaryotic large subunit ribosomal RNA", at positions 23 to 633 of the family's 3401-position model. Lineage: Eukaryota; Fungi; Neocallimastigomycota; Neocallimastigomycetes; Neocallimastigales. The record is from RNAcentral.
AGAGAGAGACAUGCGCGCAUAUCAAUAAGCGGAGGAAAAGAAACUAACAAGGAUUCCCUUAGUAACGGCGAGUGAAGCGGGAAGAGCUCAAAUUUGAAAUCUUCAAGGUUCUACCUUGACGAAUUGUAGUUUAAAGAAGUGUUUUCGGUUAGAGGAGUUUAGUAAAAGUUCUUUGGAAUAGGACAUCAUAGAGGGUGAGAAUCCCGUAUUUGACCUAUUUCUUCCAGCUGUGUGAUACACUUUCAAAGAGUCGGAUUGUUUGGGAAUGCAGUCCAAAAUGGGUGGUAAAUUUCAUCUAAAGCUAAAUAUUGGCGAGAGACCGAUAGCGAACAAGCACCGUGAGGGAAAGAUGAAAAGAACUUUGAAAAGAGAGUUAAACAGUACGUGAAAUUGUCAAAAGGGAAGCGUUUGACACCAGUGUUGUUUUCUCGAAAAUCAAUUAAAGAAGGCUGGAUUUUAGUGUUGUAUUGACUUUAUCAGCUUACUGCACUAGUUUUCUUGUCUUUGUGAAUGCACUUUUCGUUUAACAAGUCAACUAUCAAUUUCUUUUGUUGUAAAAGGGUCAUUGGAAGGUGGCUUUCUUUUCGGAGAAAGUGUUUAUAGCCUUUGAUCUCUGCAACCGGAGAGACUGAGGUCUGCAGCGUAGACUCUUCGGGGUUAGGUACAUUUGUGCUAAGCUAUAGCUUUUUUUAGACAACUUGUUGACUAUAUUUAGUCUUGUGGCUUACUCGCUUAUGCUAUUUUACCUACGCUUAGGAUGUUGACAGCAGUAUAGACUGU